GCACCUUCUCUGUGGAGUUUCUCCAGCUUUCACAUUGUGGGCAGAGCCUAAUUUUGGAGCUCCAAGAACAGAUGCUCAAGAUGACAUCUCUACUCGGAAUGGUGGCUUUGCAAACUGAUGUGAAUGUACUUGGUAGUCAUCUUGAGAUGCUGACGUUACAAAUCUGCCCUUCCAAUCAUCUGAACUCAAUGUGAUACCUUUUGGCCCAGUUCAGCAAACACUGUGAAUGCAUAUGCUUGUAGAGCAAAGAGUCUACCCAGCUUAAGUCAAAAGUAGAUCAAAAGAACAAGAGGUUUGUAUUAAGAGUUGGACCCAGAUUUAUUUUCUGAACAUGAUUAUUCUCAAUUUCUAACCUUGUCUAAUGCUAUUGGAAUCUACAUUUCUACAUGGCAUUCUCUCUGCUUUCAUAGACUAAUUUAUCCUAGGAAUCUUUUUAAUCAUGUUGCCCACAAGAAAUAUGUGCAAUUCUCUUUUCAUUAAAAAUAAUUGAGAUCUACCUUUGUGUGAAUGCUCAUGUUCCAUCCUUUG
Molecule: long non-coding RNA, 528 nt
Filed under: Homo sapiens (human)
Lineage: Eukaryota; Metazoa; Chordata; Mammalia; Primates; Hominidae
Description: HSALNT0124051
Source: RNAcentral